CCCCAUUCCCCAUUUUAUUUCACGAAAGUUUUUCUUCUCAUUUGUUUGUGUCCUUUCUUGCUCUCCCAAAUCCCUCCCACUUGCUUUUGAUCUUCAAUUCCUAAUUCUCUUUGAAUUAUAUCACCCUUGAGCCUUAAACCUCCAUUAUAACUAAGAAAAUCACCCAAGAAUUCCACAAUCUUCAUCAUCUUCUCCAAAAUGUGAGUUUUUCCAAGUUUGAAUCAAAGCUUGAUUUUUUUGCAUUCAAGUGUCGGAGUCUAUAUGACCUUCAACGAGCAAAGAGAAGGGCAAAGAGAAGCUUGUCAAAGCUUUCAAUUUUUUGGCAAAAACGAAUAUUUCGAGUAGUUGCGCUCCUGGUGUGAACAGUGUUGUCGUCGAGGGAUUGAUCCAAGCCAUUCUUUAUUCAUUAUAUUAGAUGCUUUGCUUAUUCUAGCUCUAGGGAAUAAAAUGGGCAAUGCAGUAGACAUUUAUAUCGAAUUGUUAGGACGUAUUUGGGAUUAUUUGCAUAUUAUGCAUGUUUGGAAGCGUGUGGACUUGGAGAUGGUAUUUGGACUAUUGUUUUAAACAUUUUGAUGCUUAUAUGACUAGGUGAAUGAAGCGUGAUGUUUAGUGAUUAA
Molecule: long non-coding RNA, 617 nt
Organism: Gossypium arboreum
Lineage: Eukaryota; Viridiplantae; Streptophyta; Magnoliopsida; Malvales; Malvaceae
Exons: 3
Source: RefSeq, a predicted model, not a curated record